Molecule: transfer RNA, 58 nt
Filed under: Mus musculus (house mouse)
Lineage: Eukaryota; Metazoa; Chordata; Mammalia; Rodentia; Muridae
Source: Rfam by way of RNAcentral
UGGCUCAGCGGUUAAGAGCACUGACUGCUAUUCCAGAGGUCCUGAGUUCAAAUCCCAG